CCUACGGGAGGCAGCAGUGAGGAAUAUUGGUCAAUGGUCGAGAGACUGAACCAGCCAAGUCGCGUGAAGGAUGACUGUCCUGUGGGUUGUAAACUUCUUUUAUCUGGGAAUAAAAUGUUCCACGUGUGGGCUUUUGUAUGUACCAUAAGAAUAAGGAUCGGCUAACUCCGUGCCAGCAGCCGCGGUAAUACGGAGGAUCCGAGCGUUAUCCGGAUUUAUUGGGUUUAAAGGGAGCGUAGGUGGAUUGUUAAGUCAGUGGUGAAAGUUGCGGCUCAAACGUAAGAUUGCAGUUGAAACUGGCAGUCUUGAGUACAGUAGAGGUGUGCGGAAUGCGUGGUGUAGCGGUGAAAUGCUUAGAUAUCACGAAGAACUCCGAUUGCGAAGGCAGCUCACUGGACUGCAACUGACACUGAGGCUCGAAAGUGUGGGUAUCAAACAGGAUUAGAUACCCGUGUAGUC
RNAcentral lists this ribosomal RNA (459 nucleotides) under uncultured bacterium. RNAcentral describes it as "partial 16S ribosomal RNA". It matches the Rfam family "Bacterial small subunit ribosomal RNA", at positions 338 to 795 of the family's 1533-position model. The record is from RNAcentral.